UUGUCUCAAAGAUUAAGCCAUGCAUGUCUCAGUACAAGCCAAAUUAAGGUGAAACCGCGAAAGGCUCAUUAAAUCAGUUAUGGUUCCUUAGAUCGUACCAACAUUUACUUGGAUAACUGUGGUAAUUCUAGAGCUAAUACAUGCAAACAGAGCUCCGACCGGAGACGGAAGGAGCGCUUUUAUUAGAUCAAAACCAAUCGGCGGCGGGUCCCUCGCGGGCUCGUCGUCGUAUGCAUUGACGAAUCUGAAUAACUUUCUGCUGAUCGCACGGUCUCGCACCGGCGACGCAUCUUUCAAAUGUCUGCCUUAUCAACUGUCGAUGGUAGGUUCUGUGCCUACCAUGGUUGUAACGGGUAACGGGGAAUCAGGGUUCGAUUCCGGAGAGGGAGCCUGAGAAACGGCUACCACAUCCAAGGAAGGCAGCAGGCGCGCAAAUUACCCACUCCCGGCACGGGGAGGUAGUGACGAAAAAUAACGAUACGGGACUCAUCCGAGGCCCCGUAAUCGGAAUGAGAACAAUUUAAAUCCUUUAACGAGGAUCAAUUGGAGGGCAAGUCUGGUGCCAGCAGCCGCGGUAAUUCCAGCUCCAAUAGCGUAUAUUAAAGUUGUUGCGGUUAAAAAGCUCGUAGUCGAAUCUGUGUCCCGCGCCGCCGGUUCGCCGCUCGCGGUGUUUAACUGGCGUGUUCGCGGGACGUCCUGCCGGUGGGCUCAGCCCUUUCGCGAGGGCGGCCCAAUCAUAAUCCUGCCGCGGUGCUCUUCACCGAGUGUCGAGGCGGGCCGGCACGUUUACUUUGAACAAAUUAGAGUGCUUAAAGCAGGCUCAAACUGCGCCUGAAUACUUCGUGCAUGGAAUAAUGGAAUAGGACCUCGGUUCUAUUUUGUUGGUUUUCGGAACCCCGAGGUAAUGAUUAAUAGGAACGGAUGGGGGCAUUCGUAUUGCGACGUUAGAGGUGAAAUUCUUGGAUCGUCGCAAGACGGACAGAAGCGAAAGCAUUUGCCAAAGA
RNAcentral lists this ribosomal RNA (1004 nucleotides) under Taphes sp. UPOL A00539. RNAcentral describes it as "SSU rRNA". It matches the Rfam family "Eukaryotic small subunit ribosomal RNA", at positions 32 to 964 of the family's 1831-position model. The record is from RNAcentral. Lineage: Eukaryota; Metazoa; Arthropoda; Insecta; Coleoptera; Lycidae.